Long non-coding RNA from Lagenorhynchus albirostris (white-beaked dolphin), 604 nucleotides. RefSeq lists it as uncharacterized. The transcript has 3 exons. The record is from RefSeq and is a predicted model, not a curated record. NCBI's taxonomy places the organism in Eukaryota, Metazoa, Chordata, Mammalia, Artiodactyla, Delphinidae.
AUACUGCUGUCAACUCAGGCACCCAUAGCACUGGCUGGGUGGAUGGGCUGCAUCAUCCGCACAGUGGGGACACUUGCAGCUGUAAGAAAGAACCAGGAAGAUACAUGUGGGAACGGAGAGAUCUCCAGCAUCAGCUGGUAUUACAAGUAAACUUGCAUAUAUAAAGCAAUCUCUGAAAAUUAGAAACAAACGGAGUUAAAUUAAACUAACUAUACAUCGAUGGUAAUAUAACUCCCAAGAAAAUAAUGAUUUCUCGUGACUGGGACAGCAUUUAGACGGAACCAAGAUUUUCAGUGUAAGAGAAAUGAGAUCAAGUAUAAAAUCAACAAAGGUUAGUAAAACCCUCCAGUGUUCAAUUUGGAUGAAAUGAUCAUGUGAAUCGGUGAAGUAACUUUGAGGUGGUCAGGAAGCACAUGCACUGAAGUGUCACUUCUUCGCUCUGCCCUGACAACAUCCAGUAGCGAUGGCAGCAGCCGCAGUGAGCACCUCUCGCGUCUGGACGUUGGCUUCUAAGUACCACUCCUCGCUAGAGGAAUGGCCCGUCCAGAUGUGAGGCAAGAAAUCAGCAAGACGAACCUGGGCUGUGCACUCAGGUCCCAACACA